Molecule: ribosomal RNA, 449 nt
Filed under: uncultured bacterium
Lineage: Bacteria
Description: partial 16S ribosomal RNA
Rfam family: Bacterial small subunit ribosomal RNA
Source: RNAcentral
AACGAACGCUGGCGGCAGGCCUAACACAUGCAAGUCGAACGAACCGUUUACGGUGAGUGGCGCACGGGUGAGUAACACGUGGGAAUAUACAUUUCGGUAAGGAAUAACGUAGAGAAAUUUACGCUAAUACCUUAUAAUGACUACGGUCCAAAGAUUUAUCGCCGAAGGAUUAGCCCGCGUUAGAUUAGGUAGUUGGUAGGGUAAUGGCCUACCAAGCCUACGAUCUAUAGCUGGUCUUAGAGGAUGAUCAGCCACACUGGAACUGAGACACGGUCCAGACUCCUACGGGAGGCAGCAGUGAGGAAUAUUGAGAAAUGGGGGAAACCCUGACGGAGCCAUGCCGCGUGAGUGACGAAGGCCUUAGGGUUGUAAAGCUCUUUCAGAUGUAAAGAUAAUGACGGUAACAUCAGAAGAAGCUCCGGCUAAAUUCGUGCCAGCCGCCGCGGUAA